UACGGGGGGGGCAAGCGUUGUUCGGAAUUACUGGGCGUAAAGGGCGCGUAGGCGGCCGACUAAGUCAGACGUGAAAUCCCCAGGCUCAACUUGGGAACUGCGUCUGAUACUGGACGGCUAGAAUCCGGGAGAGGGAUGUGGAAUUCCAGGUGUAGCGGUGAAAUGCGUAGAUAUCUGGAGGAACACCGGUGGCGAAGGCGGCAUCCUGGACCGGUAUUGACGCUGAGGCGCGAAAGCCAGGGGAGCAAACGGG
Molecule: ribosomal RNA, 253 nt
Filed under: uncultured bacterium
Lineage: Bacteria
Description: partial 16S ribosomal RNA
Rfam family: Bacterial small subunit ribosomal RNA
Source: RNAcentral